GGAGCGAUUUGUCUGGUCAAUUCCGAUAACGAACGAGACAUUCCGAUAACGAACGAGACUCUAGCCUACUAAAUAGUUCGGGGACCCCCACAAAGGGGCCCUGCUUCAACUUCUUAGAGGGACAGGUGGCGUUUAGCCACACGAGAUUGAGCAAUAACA
Molecule: ribosomal RNA, 159 nt
Filed under: uncultured eukaryote
Lineage: Eukaryota
Description: partial 18S ribosomal RNA
Rfam family: Eukaryotic small subunit ribosomal RNA
Source: RNAcentral